RNAcentral lists this ribosomal RNA (253 nucleotides) under uncultured bacterium. RNAcentral describes it as "partial 16S ribosomal RNA". It matches the Rfam family "Bacterial small subunit ribosomal RNA", at positions 524 to 776 of the family's 1533-position model. The record is from RNAcentral.
GACAGAGGAUGCAAGCGUUAUCCGGAAUGAUUGGGCGUAAAGCGUCCGCAGGUGGCACCUCAAGUCUGCUGUCAAAGACCGGGGCUUAACCCCAGAAAGGCAGUGGAAACUGAAGUGCUAGAGUGCAGUAGGGGUAGAGGGAAUUCCCGGUGUAGCGGUGAAAUGCGUAGAGAUCGGGAAGAACAUCGGUGGCGAAAGCGCUCUGCUGGACUGCAACUGACACUCAGGGACGAAAGCUAGGGGAGCGAAUGGG